RNAcentral lists this ribosomal RNA (226 nucleotides) under uncultured bacterium. RNAcentral's name for it is "partial 16S ribosomal RNA". It matches the Rfam family "Bacterial small subunit ribosomal RNA", at positions 28 to 253 of the family's 1533-position model. The record is from RNAcentral.
GACGAACGCUGGCGGCGUGCUUAACACAUGCAAGUCGAGCGGUAAGGCCCUUUCGGGGGUACGACGAGCGGCGAACGGGUGAGUAACACGUGGGUGACCUCGCCCUCAGCUCUGGGAUAAGCCUGGGAAACUGGGUCUAAUACUGGAUAUGACUCCACGGUGCAUGUCGUGGGGUGGAAAGCCUUGUGCGGCUGAGGAUGGGCCCGCGGCCUAUCAGCUUGUUGGU